CUUUGAUACCAAUACAAAUACAUAUGUCAUACAAUAAUUGUAUAAAAGUAUAUCAAUGUGGUAUAAAAGUGUAUCAAUUGAGUAUAGAGACUGCAUGUGUUCAAUUGGGCCAAAUGGCUAAAUAAUGAAAAUAAAUUGGGCCGACUGACUCCAAUUGUCUAUAUUUUCAAAUUGUGGGUCAUUUCUUUUCAAAGUGGUUAGCCCAUAGCCACUCGGUUAAAAGAACUGCCGCCGAGUGACC
RNAcentral lists this long non-coding RNA (241 nucleotides) under Capsicum annuum. Its description in RNAcentral is "long non-coding RNA (CANN_LNC004804)". Lineage: Eukaryota; Viridiplantae; Streptophyta; Magnoliopsida; Solanales; Solanaceae. The record is from RNAcentral.